RNAcentral lists this ribosomal RNA (405 nucleotides) under uncultured bacterium. Its description in RNAcentral is "bacterial SSU rRNA". It matches the Rfam family "Bacterial small subunit ribosomal RNA", at positions 355 to 776 of the family's 1533-position model. The record is from RNAcentral.
UCGGGGAUAUUGCACAAUGGGCGAAAGCUUGAUGCAGCAACGCCGCGUGGGCGAUGAAGGCCUUCGGGUCGUAAAGCCCUUUUCUGGGGGAAGAGAAGCGGACGGUACCCCAGGAAUAAGCGUCGGCUAACUACGUGCCAGCAGCCGCGGUAAAACGUAGGACGCAAGCGUUAUCCGAAUUUACUGGGCGUAAAGAGCGUUGAGGCGGUUCCGUAAGUUGGGCGUGAAAGCCCCCGGCUUAACUGGGGGAGGUCGUUCAAUACUGCGGAACUUGAGGACAGCAGAGGGAGGUGGAAUUCCCGGUGUAGUGGUGAAAUGCGUAGAUAUCGGGAGGAACACCAGUGGCGAAGGCGGCCUCCUGGGCUGUUCCUGACGCUGAAGGCGAAAGCUAGGGUAGCAAACGGG